This 606-nucleotide ribosomal RNA is filed under the name uncultured beta proteobacterium. RNAcentral describes it as "partial 16S ribosomal RNA". It matches the Rfam family "Bacterial small subunit ribosomal RNA", at positions 1 to 599 of the family's 1533-position model. Lineage: Bacteria; Pseudomonadati; Pseudomonadota; Betaproteobacteria. The record is from RNAcentral.
CGCCAUGGCGGCCGCGGGAAUUCGAUUAGAGUUUGAUCAUGGCUCAGAUUGAACGCUGGCGGCAUGCCUUACACAUGCAAGUCGAACGGCAGCACGGGAGCAAUCCUGGUGGCGAGUGGCGAACGGGUGAGUAAUGUAUCGGAACGUACCUUUCAGUGGGGGAUAACGUAGCGAAAGUUACGCUAAUACCGCAUAUUCUGUGAGCAGGAAAGCAGGGGAUCGCAAGACCUUGCGCUGAUUGAGCGGCCGAUAUCAGAUUAGCUAGUUGGUGAGGUAAAGGCUCACCAAGGCGACGAUCUGUAGCGGGUCUGAGAGGAUGAUCCGCCACACUGGAACUGAGACACGGUCCAGACUCCUACGGGAGGCAGCAGUGGGGAAUUUUGGACAACGGGCGCAAGCCUGAUCCAGCCAUGCCGCGUGAGUGAAGAAGGCCUUCGGGUUGUAAAGCUCUUUCAGCCGGGAAGAAAACGCAUGGGUUAAUACCCUGUGUGGAUGACGGUACCGGAAUAAGAAGCACCGGCUAACUACGUGCCAGCAGCCGCGGUAAUACGAAUCACUAGUGAAUUCGCGGCCGCCUGCAGGUCGACCAUAUGGGAGAGCUCCCAA